This is a small nuclear RNA of Accipiter nisus (Eurasian sparrowhawk), 190 nucleotides long. Its record names the gene U2. It matches the Rfam family "U2 spliceosomal RNA". Rfam says of the family: U2 is a small nuclear RNA (snRNA) component of the spliceosome (involved in pre-mRNA splicing). Complementary binding between U2 snRNA (in an area lying towards the 5' end but 3' to hairpin I) and the branchpoint sequence (BPS) of the intron results the bulging out of an unpaired adenosine, on the BPS, which initiates a nucleophilic attack at the intronic 5' splice site, thus starting the first of two transesterification reactions that mediate splicing. Lineage: Eukaryota; Metazoa; Chordata; Aves; Accipitriformes; Accipitridae. The record is from Ensembl.
UUUGCUUCUCGGCCUUUUGGCUAAGAUCAAGUGUAGUAUCUGUUCUUAUCAGUUUAAUAUCUGAUACGUCCUCGAUGAGAGGACUUUAUAUUAAAUGAGUUUGGGGACUGGGAAAUGUACUAGGACCUUACGCCAUCCUCUUCAUGCAUGAAGCUGGCUAUUACUGUGUUUCUAGAAUAGUGUGAAAAGA